Salmo salar (Atlantic salmon) is the source of this 846-nucleotide non-coding RNA. The record is from RefSeq and is a predicted model, not a curated record. NCBI's taxonomy places the organism in Eukaryota, Metazoa, Chordata, Actinopteri, Salmoniformes, Salmonidae.
UCUAGUAAAAAUAAAAACCCUUGCAUGAGUAGGUGUCCAAACGUUUGACUGAUACUGUGUAUGUGUGUAUGUAAACAUGCGAGAGCUGGAUCUCAUCAAUACCUGUGUCUUGUUGAUGAAUAUUUCAGAAAAAUGCACGCAAACAGAAGUCAGCAAAGAUAGAACAGAUGUCUAGGAAAAAAAAAACUCUGGUGCUGACAGAGAGGAAGAGGUUCCCAUAGUAACGCAAAGGAAAAAGGCUAAACUGGAGGUCUGUACCCUGCCGCCUCCCUAAGUUUGUUUAAUUCACUGCUUUAGCACACUGCCAACCUGGAUGUCCUAGCCGUGUCUGAAUCCUGGCUUAGGAAGACCACCAAAAACUCUGAAAUCUCCAUCCCUAACUACAACAUUUUCAGACAAGAUAGAACGGCCAAAGGGUGCGGUGUUGCAAUCUACUGCAGAGAGAGCCUGCAGAGUUCUGUCCUACUAUCCAGAAGCCGACCAAGAAGGGACUUGUGAAGGUAACCAAACCAACAGGAGGAAAGAAAGGUAUAAAAUAAAUAAUGACCAAGAAGGCUGCAAAAAUACCCUCACAAAAUAUGAAAAGAAAAGUUUGUCAACUCAAUGGAACACAGCUCUCCUUUCUCUCCUCAUUACUAUCUGUGUAUUACUCCCCCUUUCUCUAAAUGGAACUCUGACUUCAUCAUACUUAUAUGAAGGACUGGUUCUAAAUGUAUAUAAACUGUCAACGUUAAUUGAUCCAAGGACAAACUCAAAUGUGUUGCAAAUCUUUGUCUGCCCCAUAAAAGGGUCUUGUUCAAAAUCGUCUUUUGUCUAACUUGUAAAUUAAAAUAUUACCACAAAGUA